Vicia faba (fava bean) is the source of this 240-nucleotide non-coding RNA. The record is from the annotation of a GenBank genome assembly. NCBI's taxonomy places the organism in Eukaryota, Viridiplantae, Streptophyta, Magnoliopsida, Fabales, Fabaceae.
AUGGCAGCGAUGGAACGGAAGAAGCAGAGAAACCCUAAAUUCUAUUUGGCCCUAUUUAUAAAGAUCUGCGUUGGGUGGAUCGGGUACAUAUCCGAUUUUACCACUGCGGCCUUUUUUAUUUUACCCUUUGAAAAUAUAAUUCUAGCGUGCCAAUACAAUUGCAAUUGCAAGUACUCAAUUUUAGAUUCAAUUUCAACUCACAUAUUAUUAAAUGAAUCUCAAUUAAUAAUAAAAUUUUAA